RNAcentral lists this long non-coding RNA (313 nucleotides) under Medicago truncatula (barrel medic). RNAcentral describes it as "lncRNA gene10387". The record is from RNAcentral. Lineage: Eukaryota; Viridiplantae; Streptophyta; Magnoliopsida; Fabales; Fabaceae.
AUGAUCAAACAUUUUUCUUGUCAAUCUAAGAAACCCAUCACCCUUUUUCUCCAACAAUUUUUGGAGACCUCAAUGAGAAUUUUGAGCUUCAUUAUACACCAAAUUACCUAAGUGGUAGCUCAACUUACAAGCUACACUAGAUCAAUUCAAAAGAACACCCUAGUUUUUUUUAUAUUUUUUUUAGUGCUUAAACUUUUAACCCUUUAACAUAAAAGAUCAAGGACAGUUAGGGUUUCGACCCGGACCACCAUAAUAGAAGUAGGUGCCCCAAUCACCAGCAUUACCAGUUUUGACAUUAUAACAGUUAUCUUUU